UGUCUUCGUGUGGUUCAUUUUUGCACCUUGGCAUCUAAUAUACAACAUAUACAAGUGGCGAGCCAGCCAGGAGACUUGUAUAUUAGAUUUAAUAGAUGCAAAGGUGCAAAAAUGAACUACGCAAAGACA
Xyrichtys novacula (pearly razorfish) is the source of this 129-nucleotide non-coding RNA. NCBI's taxonomy places the organism in Eukaryota, Metazoa, Chordata, Actinopteri, Labriformes, Labridae. The record is from the annotation of a GenBank genome assembly.